UACGGGGGGUGCAAGCGUUAUUCGGAAUCACUGGGCGUAAAGCGCGCGCAGGCGGCCGUUUAAGUCAGAUGUGAAAGCCCGGGGCUCAACCCCGGAAGUGCAUUUGAUACUAUUAGGCUUGAGUAUGGGAGAGGGAAGUGGAAUUCCUGGUGUAGAGGUGAAAUUCGUAGAUAUCAGGAGGAACACCGGUGGCGAAGGCGACUUCCUGGACCAAUACUGACGCUGAGGCGCGAAGGCGUGGGGAGCAAACAGG
RNAcentral lists this ribosomal RNA (253 nucleotides) under uncultured bacterium. Its description in RNAcentral is "partial 16S ribosomal RNA". It matches the Rfam family "Bacterial small subunit ribosomal RNA", at positions 524 to 776 of the family's 1533-position model. The record is from RNAcentral.